GAUGAACGCUGGCGGCGUGCCUAAUACAUGCAAGUCGAACGAGGUGCUUUUGUAGCAAUACGAAAGUAUCCUAGUGGCGAACGGGUGAGUAACGCGUUGGUGACCUACCCCAAAGUGUGGGAUAACAGUUCGAAAGAACUGCUAAUACCACAUGUGGUUAUCGGAUUUAGAAACUGAUAACUAAAGGAGCAAUUCGCUUUGGGAGGGACCUGCGUCCCAUCAGCUAGUUGGUGAGGUAAUGGCUCACCAAGGCUACGACGGGUAGGGGACCUGAGAGGUCGACCCCCCACAAUGGAACUGAAACACGGUCCAUACACCUAUGGGUGGCAGCAGUAGGG
This 338-nucleotide ribosomal RNA is filed under the name uncultured bacterium. RNAcentral's name for it is "bacterial SSU rRNA". It matches the Rfam family "Bacterial small subunit ribosomal RNA", at positions 28 to 359 of the family's 1533-position model. The record is from RNAcentral.